Molecule: ribosomal RNA, 484 nt
Filed under: uncultured bacterium
Lineage: Bacteria
Description: partial 16S ribosomal RNA
Rfam family: Bacterial small subunit ribosomal RNA
Source: RNAcentral
AGUGAACGCUGGCGGCAGGCCUAACACAUGCAAGUCGAGCGGCAGCGCGGGGGCAACCCUGGCGGCGAGCGGCGGACGGGUGAGGAAUUCGUCGGAAUCUGCCUUUUUGUGGGGGAUACCGUAGGGAAACUUACGCUAAUACCGCAUACGUCCUACGGGAGAAAGUGGGGGACCGCAAGGCCUCACGCAGAAAGAUGAGCCGACGACCGAUUAGCUAGUUGGUGGGGUAACGGCACACCACGGCGACGAACGUUAGCUGGUCUGAGAGGAUGAUCAGCCAGACGUGGAUUGAGACACGGCCCGCACUCCAACGGGAGGCAGGAAGGGGAAAUAUUGGAAAAUGGACGAAGACAUGACCCAGCCAUGCCGAGCUUGAGAAGAAGACCUUCGGGUUGUAAAGCAAUUUUGUCCGGAAAGAAAUCUCUGGAGCUAAGACAUUCGGGGGAUGACGGUACCGGAAGAAUAAGCACCGGCUAACUUCGUG